UACAGAGGGUGCGAGCGUUAAUCGGAAUUACUGGGCGUAAAGCGUGCGCAGGCGGUGAUGUAAGACAGGUGUGAAAUCCCCGGGCUUAACCUGGGAACUGCAUUUGUGACUGCAUCGCUGGAGUGCGGCAGAGGGGGAUGGAAUUCCGCGUGUAGCAGUGAAAUGCGUAGAUAUGCGGAGGAACACCGAUGGCGAAGGCAAUCCCCUGGGCCUGCACUGACGCUCAUGCACGAAAGCGUGGGAGCAAACAGG
RNAcentral lists this ribosomal RNA (252 nucleotides) under uncultured bacterium. RNAcentral's name for it is "partial 16S ribosomal RNA". It matches the Rfam family "Bacterial small subunit ribosomal RNA", at positions 524 to 776 of the family's 1533-position model. The record is from RNAcentral.